AACGAACGCUGGCGGCGUGCUUUACACAUGCAAGUCGAACGGGAAGGCUCUGCUUAUCUGGGGUGCUCAAGUGGCGAAAGGGUCAGUAACACGUGAAUAAUCUGCCCUUGACUUUGGGAUAACUUCAGCAACCUGGAGCUAAUACCGGAUAGGAGCUCCUGCCGCCUGGUGUGGGCUGGAAAGUUUCGGCGCUUGGGGAGGGACUCGCGGCUUAUCAGUUUGUUGGUGGGGUAGUGGCUUACCAAGGAUUUGACGGGUAGCCGGCCUGAGAGGGUGACCGGCCACAUUGGGACUGAGAUACGGCCCAGACUCCUGCGCGAGGCAGCAGUGGGGAAUAUUGCACUAUGGGCGGAAGCCUGAUGCAGCAACGCCGCGUGCGGGAUGACGGCCUUCGGUUUGUAGACCGCUUGCGCCUGUGACGAAGCGUGAGUGACGGGAAUGGGUAAAGAAGCACCGGCUAACUACGUG
Molecule: ribosomal RNA, 468 nt
Filed under: uncultured bacterium
Lineage: Bacteria
Description: partial 16S ribosomal RNA
Rfam family: Bacterial small subunit ribosomal RNA
Source: RNAcentral